AGUGAACGCUGGCGGUAGGCCUAACACAUGCAAGUCGAACGGCAGCACAGUAAGAGCUUGCUCUUACGGGUGGCGAGUGGCGGACGGGUGAGGAAUACAUCGGAAUCUACUUUUUCGUGGGGGAUAACGUAGGGAAACUUACGCUAAUACCGCAUACGACCUACGGGUGAAAGCAGGGGAUCUUCGGACCUUGCGCGAUUGAAUGAGCCGAUGUCGGAUUAGCUAGUUGGCGGGUAAAGGCCCACCAAGGCGACGAUCCGUAGCUGGUCUGAGAGGAUGAUCAGCCACACUGGAACUGAGACACGGUCCAGACUCCUACGGGAGGCAGCAGUGGGGAAUAUUGGACAAUGGGCGCAAGCCUGAUCCAGCCAUACCGCGUGGGUGAAGAAGGCCUUCGGGUUGUAAAGCCCUUUUGUUGGGAAAGAAAAGCAGCAGGUUAAUACCCCGCUGUUCUGACGGUACUCAAAGAAUAAGCACCGGCUAACUUCGUG
Molecule: ribosomal RNA, 491 nt
Filed under: uncultured bacterium
Lineage: Bacteria
Description: partial 16S ribosomal RNA
Rfam family: Bacterial small subunit ribosomal RNA
Source: RNAcentral